AGAAACCUGUUCAAAGGGUUUGACCGGUUAUUUAACCCAGAAAAGGCCCGGGCUAAAUUACGUGCCCAGCCAGCCGGCGGUAAAUACGUAGGGUGGCCAAGCGUUUUUCCGGAAUUUUAUUGGGGCGUAAAAGCGAACCCCAGGCGGUUUUUUUAAGUUUUGAUGUGAAAAGCCUUUCGGCUUAACCGGAGGAAGUGCAUCGGAAAACUGGGAGACUUGAGUGCAGAAGAGGACAGUGGAACUCCAUGUGUAGCGGUGGAAUGCGUAGAUAUAUGGAAGAACACCAGUGGCGAAGGCGGCUGUCUAGUCUGUAACUGACGCUGAGGCUCGAAAGCAUGGGUAGCGAACAGGAUUAGAUACCCUGGUAGUCCAUGCCGUAAACGAUGAGUGCUAAGUGUUGGAGGGUUUCCGCCCUUCAGUGCUGCAGCUAACGCAUUAAGCACUCCGCCUGGGGAGUACGACCGCAAGGUUGAAACUCAAAGGAAUUGACGGGGGCCCGCACAAGCGGUGGAGCAUGUGGUUUAAUUCGAAGCUACGCGAAGAACCUUACCAGGUCUUGACAUCUUCUGCCAAUCUUAGAGAUAAGACGUUCCCUUCGGGGACAGAAUGACAGGUGGUGCAUGGUUGUCGUCAGCUCGUGUCGUGAGAUGUUGGGUUAAGUCCCGCAACGAGCGCAACCCUUAUUAUCAGUUGCCAGCAUUCAGUUGGGCACUCUGGUGAGACUGCCGGUGACAAACCGGAGGAAGGUGGGGAUGACGUCAAAUCAUCAUGCCCCUUAUGACCUGGGCUACACACGUGCUACAAUGGACGGUACAACGAGUUGCGAAGUCGUGAGGCUAAGCUAAUCUCUUAAAGCCGUUCUCAGUUCGGAUUGUAGGCUGCAACUCGCCUACAUGAAGUUGGAAUCGCUAGUAAUCGCGGAUCAGCAUGCCGCGGUGAAUACGUUCCCGGGCCUUGUACACACCGCCCGUCACACCAUGAGAGUUUGUAACACCCAAAGCCGGUGAGAUAACCUUCGGGAGUCAGCCGUCUAAGGGACAGAGAAGGGG
Molecule: ribosomal RNA, 1049 nt
Filed under: Levilactobacillus brevis
Lineage: Bacteria; Bacillati; Bacillota; Bacilli; Lactobacillales; Lactobacillaceae
Description: bacterial SSU rRNA
Rfam family: Bacterial small subunit ribosomal RNA
Source: RNAcentral